UACAGGGGGUGCAAACGUUGCUCGGAAUGACUGGGCGUAAAGGGCGCGUAGGCGGACGGCUUUGUCGGGCGUGAAAUUCCAGGGCUUAACCUUGGGGCUGCGUUCGAGACGGGUUGUCUAGAGUUUGGAAGAGGGUCGUGGAAUUCCCAGUGUAGAGGUGAAAUUCGUAGAUAUUGGGAAGAACACCGGUGGCGAAGGCGGCGACCUGGUCCAGCACCGACGUUCAGGCACGAAAGCGUGGGGAGCAAACAGG
This 253-nucleotide ribosomal RNA is filed under the name uncultured bacterium. RNAcentral describes it as "partial 16S ribosomal RNA". It matches the Rfam family "Bacterial small subunit ribosomal RNA", at positions 524 to 776 of the family's 1533-position model. The record is from RNAcentral.